CUGCUCUCUGCUCUCCUCGCUGCCCUUUCCGGCCGCCUUCUCCGGCUUCUCCCGGGUCUCCCGCGCGGCUCGUCCCCGCGGCCCUUCCUCCUCCCUCUUCUCCUCCCCGCAAUUCCCGCUCUUCCCAGGCCCCUCCCCCGGCCGUUCUCCUCACCAGCGGCAACCCCGGGGCGGCUGAGUCAGGCUGGCCGCCCUCCUUCCGUGCAGCCUUCGGAGCAGAGGCCUGCUCAUGGGGCCUCCCCACCCAUGCUGGGGGUUAUUCGUUCCUGUCACCAGCGCUGAGAAAAGCCAGGCCGACACCCCCAAUCCAGCGUGAAACUCCCUCCUCCCGGGUUUGAGCUGUCCGCAGAGGGCCAGACUAGGCUAGCCAGGAAAUGCGACCGAGGGGCUGGCUGCGGGGGCUCUGCGCAGAGCGGGGCGUCUUCUGUUUGGGUAUUUCCUCCUAGAACCUUAUGACGCUUGACAACAGCAGGCAUUCAAUAAAUGCACAUCAACGAGGAGCAUGUAACAAUAGAAGAUACACAAGUAUUAGCAGCACAGGGCUCUAGUGAGGAGGAAGGGAGCAAAGUUCAGAAGCUGUUGCGCCCCGUAUUAAGUAGGAUGCGUCUGAGAAGACUGAAUAAAACCUCAGUUAAUGAAGUGGAAAGGGCCCAGUUUGACGAGGAUAAGAUGGCUGGAGAACCUCUUGUGGAAGGAGGAAGCCCUCCCGGGUGUCUGAGCUGUCUAUCUUGAAAGGCCAGGUGGUUUCUUGAAGAGAAUGGGGUUUGGGAGUCAGGCUCCCAGGUCCAGGCCUAGCUCCAGGUGUGAUCUAGCUGUGUGAUCCUGGGAAAGUCUCUUGGUCUCAGGCGGUGGUUGAAUUAAAUGACCUUUAAUUACACUCCCCGUUUUAUAAAUCAGUGACUCUUCCUACUCCUAUCUCUUGCCUUUUCUAAUGCUUUAGAGGGAAAGGAAAAAGACGCGGUAGGAGACUAGAAAAGGGAGGCAAUACUUGUAACCUGCUUAGAUAAAAGAGACAAGGCCCAAAAGCAGGAAGGAGUUCCACAUUACUAAUUAUUCCAGCCCACAGAUUUCUCUGUUGAAUUUCCAUAGC
Molecule: long non-coding RNA, 1090 nt
Filed under: Equus asinus (donkey)
Lineage: Eukaryota; Metazoa; Chordata; Mammalia; Perissodactyla; Equidae
Description: lncRNA (ENSEASG00005038353.1)
Source: RNAcentral